Molecule: non-coding RNA, 28 nt
Filed under: Rattus norvegicus (Norway rat)
Lineage: Eukaryota; Metazoa; Chordata; Mammalia; Rodentia; Muridae
Source: RNAcentral
UGUCAUUGUUCGGCCCUUUGGAAAGUUC